Molecule: ribosomal RNA, 497 nt
Filed under: uncultured bacterium
Lineage: Bacteria
Description: partial 16S ribosomal RNA
Rfam family: Bacterial small subunit ribosomal RNA
Source: RNAcentral
GAUGAACGCUGGCGGCGUGCCUAAUACAUGCAAGUCGAGCGAACAGACGAGGAGCUUGCUCCUCUGACGUUAGCGGCGGACGGGUGAGUAACACGUGGAUAACCUACCUAUAAGACUGGGAUAACUUCGGGGAACCGGAGCUAAUACCGGAUAAUAUAUUGAACUGCAUGGUUCAAUAGUGAAAGACGGUUUUGCUGUCACUUAUAGAUGGAUCCGCGCCGCAUUAGCUAGUUGGUAAGGUAACGGCUUACCAAGGCAACGAUGCGUAGCCGACCUGAGAGGGUGAUCGGCCACACUGGAACUGAGACACGGUCCAGACUCCUACGGGAGGCAGCAGUAGGGAAUCUUCCGCAAUGGGCGAAAGCUUGACGGAGCAACGCCGCGUGAGUGAUGAAGGUCUUCGGAUCGUAAAACUCUGUUAUUAGGGAAGAACAAAUGUGUAAGUAACUAUGCACGUCUUGACGGUACCUAAUCAGAAAGCCACGGCUAACUACGUG